GCAGCAGCAGCAGGAACAGUUCGACUGCGCCGGGAACGGAGGCGCGUCAACCGAUAUGCGUCCCGAACUCAAGGAGGCAAUCACAACCUUCGUCC
This 95-nucleotide non-coding RNA is filed under the name Pycnococcus provasolii. The record is from RNAcentral. Lineage: Eukaryota; Viridiplantae; Chlorophyta; Pseudoscourfieldiophyceae; Pseudoscourfieldiales; Pycnococcaceae.